AGUGGGGUAGGUUAUUUUUGACUGUUUGUUUUCAAAACAUUAGGUGAUAUUUUUUAUCUCCUGCUG
RNAcentral lists this transfer RNA (66 nucleotides) under Hysteromorpha triloba. Its description in RNAcentral is "tRNA-Trp". Lineage: Eukaryota; Metazoa; Platyhelminthes; Trematoda; Diplostomida; Diplostomidae. The record is from RNAcentral.